This 21-nucleotide non-coding RNA is filed under the name Caenorhabditis elegans. The record is from RNAcentral. Lineage: Eukaryota; Metazoa; Nematoda; Chromadorea; Rhabditida; Rhabditidae.
UAGGUAAUCUCCCUCAUAUAU